Long non-coding RNA from Rhagoletis zephyria (snowberry fruit fly), 1411 nucleotides. RefSeq lists it as uncharacterized. The record is from RefSeq and is a predicted model, not a curated record. NCBI's taxonomy places the organism in Eukaryota, Metazoa, Arthropoda, Insecta, Diptera, Tephritidae.
CAAACAAAGGCAAAUUUCUUCCGGGCAUAUUAUGUUGCAUACUUCUAGGCUCUUUCUAUAUACAUGCAUAUUGGUGCUUUCAAAAGUGGGAGGAUAACAUCCGAACAAUUUUUUUGCUGCAAAAUUUACAUCCCUUAUGAAAUUAGUAUUUACUUAGGUGAAAAAUUAAAAAAAAAAAUAUCUCUUUCUAACUCUCCGCUUGCCCUAAUUUAUAUUUUUUUAAUAUUUCCUACUUUUAAACUUCAAACUCCAAAGAGGUAAAUUUUUUUUUAACCGCUUAUGCAUAAAUUGCCACCUUUCGAAAUGUUUAACAUUUUACGUGUUUGUUUUUCUACGCCUCUUUUCGAACUUACCACAGCUAUCACAGAUAUUCUCCAACUGUUUUAUUUGUUUUGUUUAGCACUCAUCUAUGAACUUGAAAAUCAGAAACUUUUAGAAUUUUAUAAUAUAUAGUUAUAAUUAAGUAAAUAUAUAUACAUAAAUUGAUAUUUAAAUAAGUAAUUGAUGAAAUUUCCAAUAAAAGUUAUAGGUGAAAAAUUGAAUUUUAUACGACAAAAAGCGUUUUGAGGGAAUAUGUAGUGUAUGAAUGUACUGUGUUUUUUCGAUAUAAUUUUUUUUUUAUGAAUUUCUAAGUUUCAAAUUCGUUUAAGCAAAACAAAGUGUGAACAUAAAUUUGCUUAAAAGGGUAUAAAGCCAGAAUUCUAAAUUUGUAUUAAAGAAAAUUAUUAAAGACAAUGGUGAACUCGGUGAGCUGCUGUAUGCGCCGAGCCAAUCAUGCAAAUGCGAAUGAAAAAGAAAUUACAAAUAAACAAAAGAAGUAAAGGAAAACGGAAAACAAAAUGGGAGUUAAAUAAAAAGUUAUGUAAGCAACAAUAAAGUAAAAAAAGAAAAAUCAGACAAAAUAGCACACACGCUGCCACAAGUAAUAAUACAAAAAAUUUAUGUGUGUAUGAACAUAAAACACUAAACAAUGCGUUGAAUAUCUAUAGAGUUUGCAUUUUUUUUAAUAAAAUUUUUUUGAAAACAUAUAAAAUCAACCAUAAGUAAAAAACAAUAAUUAAAUUUAGUUUUUUACGAACGAAAAAAAUAACUCAAACUUGCGGAUAAUUAAUAUAAUUUAAUGGAAAAAUUAAAAAUAAGCAAAUGUUAGGAAAAUGUCAGAGUUAGGCAGAAAGUGGCAAAUAAAGUGCGGAUAACUGUAUAAAAAAAUGUUUUACGAAUCCGAUUAUACGAACUUAGCGAGUCGAUAUUCAAAAAUAGUUGCUAUUCAGCAAUAGCAGGUAACUUGAAUGAGAAAGCAAAACACAUAUAUAUUUAUAUGUAUGUAACCCAGGCAGAGAUGAAUUUCAAUUAACUAUAUAGAAACUGAAGACGAAAAGCUUAGUGUCAACAGUGUCUACCAAAAAAAAAA